CUGCCAGACUCCUACGGGAGGCAGCAGUGGGGAAUAUUGCACAAUGGGGGAAACCCUGAUGCAGCGACGCCGCGUGAGCGAUGAAGUCUUUCGGUAUGUAAAGCUCUAUCAGCAGGGAAGAAAAUGACGGUACCUGACUAAGAAGCCCCGGCUAACUACGUGCCAGCAGCCGCGGUAAUACGUAGGGGGCAAGCGUUAUCCGGAUUUACUGGGUGUAAAGGGAGCGUAGGCGGCCAUGCAAGUCAGAAGUGAAAACCCGGGGCUCAACCCUGGGAGUGCUUUUGAAACUGUGCGGCUAGAGUGUCGGAGGGGUAAGUGGAAUUCCUAGUGUAGCGGUGAAAUGCGUAGAUAUUAGGAGGAACACCAGUGGCGAAGGCGGCUUACUGGACGAUGACUGACGCUGAGGCUCGAAAGCGUGGGGAGCAAACAGGAUUAGAUACCCCUGUAUC
RNAcentral lists this ribosomal RNA (449 nucleotides) under uncultured bacterium. Its description in RNAcentral is "bacterial SSU rRNA". It matches the Rfam family "Bacterial small subunit ribosomal RNA", at positions 328 to 794 of the family's 1533-position model. The record is from RNAcentral.